GACGUAGGGCGCGAGCGUUGUCCGGAUUUAUUGGGCGUAAAGAGCUCGUAGGCGGCUUGUCGCGUCGACUGUGAAAACCCGCGGCUCAACUGCGGGCCUGCAGCCGAUACGGGCAGGCUAGAGUUCGGUAGGGGAGACUGGAAUUCCUGGUGUAGCGGUGAAAUGCGCAGAUAUCGGGAGGAACACCAGUGGCGAAGGCGGCUCACUGGACCGGUUCUGACGCUGAGGCGCGAAAGCGUGGGGAGCAAACGGG
Molecule: ribosomal RNA, 253 nt
Filed under: uncultured bacterium
Lineage: Bacteria
Description: partial 16S ribosomal RNA
Rfam family: Bacterial small subunit ribosomal RNA
Source: RNAcentral